Molecule: long non-coding RNA, 1392 nt
Filed under: Salvia miltiorrhiza (redroot sage)
Lineage: Eukaryota; Viridiplantae; Streptophyta; Magnoliopsida; Lamiales; Lamiaceae
Description: long non-coding RNA (SMIL_LNC004695)
Source: RNAcentral
AAAUCGUGUGACAGCAGCAGCAGCAGCAGCAUCGCGAAUGGAGCAACGACGCCGAAUCGCCGGUCUUCCACAGGCGGUGGAGAUGGCGGCAGAACCAUGGUGGCGGAGGUGNUUUGGCUUUAAUUCCUCCACUUCCUCCCUGAAUUUCAGCCUGCAUUUAAUAGGGAAACAAUACACAAUUCAUUUCAGCAAUCUUCUCAUUGAGACCAAUUCAAUGGCAAUAGACAGCCACCGACACCAAGCAUUUGCAGGUGAAUACUAAACUCAGCUCUUCAUGCAUCAUACCAUCACAUACAUGUUGGAAUAGAAAUAUAGAGGUGUAAACAUUUAUAUAUGCUUAUGGACCCAGCAGUCACACGUAAAGAAAUCAGUUUGUAUAUAAAUCUUCUUAAAAUCAAAUAUACACACUCUUAUAUUCAAUUCAAAGAUCUAAUCUUUGAAUUGAUUUUAAUACUUUUGACUAUUGAUUCUAUUUUCAACACCUACACCACCCUACCUCUGUACCAUCUCCGUAGAGUGCUCAAGUGUUCAGCCAACAACCAUUCCCUCUUAGUCUUAAACCUCCAGCCAGCAAUCUCACUUCAUUCUCUCCCAUUCCACACUAAGGACUUUUGAGAGAGAAACGGGAGAAUCCAUUGCUGCUGCAAGACUUCAAAUGAGUUUGUCUCCACAAGAAUCAAUAGCAACACAGCAGCCACCCAACAGUUUGAACAUAUUCAAGGUAUUUUACUAUCUCGAGUUUCAAUCCAGUUCGUAUUUAUGUCAACAUGCUCAAGCUAUGGCAUUACAACUAUGUUGAUUCAUUCAUUGCUACUUCACGCUCUAGAACCUAGCAGUAUCACCAAAUAUGCUUUCAUGAGCAAGUGACAGUCUAUAUGUAGAUUUAAUCCGCGUUUUAAACGAGCUUUAUGUGUAAACAAAACGAGAAAGAUUGCACCUUGCUUAAUCCGUUAUGAAUCGAUAGAAAGGAGAAUGAGACUAAGAGAACUUAGCUUAAGAAUAGGGCCGGCUGCCUGUUCGGUUGAGCCCAGACGACGACGACGAUGGCGGCAGCUCCCGCUGCCUCGGCAGAAAUCGUGUGACAGCAGCAGCAGCAGCAGCAUCGCGAAUGGAGCAACGACGCCGAAUCGCCGGUCUUCCACAGGCGGUGGAGAUGGCGGCAGAACCAUGGUGGCGGAGGUGGAAAAGAAAUAGGGCUCGACUCCCUGCCCACCUUGACGACCGAAUCGAGACCUGAACGGCUCGGAGGAGAUGGCGAGACGACGCCGGCUUCGCCGAUUGACGGCCAGAGAACCGCGACGGCAGCAGCGGCGAUAAUUGUAAGCCGAAAUUAGGGCUCGAUUUGGGGCUCUGCUUGUACAGCGGUGAAGAGAGGGUUUAGGGCGAGGAGGC